Long non-coding RNA from Mastomys coucha (southern multimammate mouse), 881 nucleotides. RefSeq lists it as uncharacterized. The record is from RefSeq and is a predicted model, not a curated record. The transcript has 5 exons. Lineage: Eukaryota; Metazoa; Chordata; Mammalia; Rodentia; Muridae.
AAUAAGAGACAGGAAUACAUUAUCAGCUCAAAGGGCAAACCCAAAUCAAUGUGGCAGGGCAAAAGAAAGAAAAGGGCAUGUAGGAACCCUGGUUUACCCUUAGAAUACUGUUUCUUAUAAUUCUUUUCCUGAGCACAUAUCUGUACCUAAAAAUCUUAGCCAUGUGUCAUUCGACAAAACAGCAGUAAAAUGGGAGGAAGAAAGGCCAUAGAGUGAGUGCUCUGCAAAGAGGCCAAGAGCACUGCAAGGAGAGACAGGGGAACAACAACAUCAUCAUCAUCAUCAACAACAACAACAACAAAAUAGGCAGCGAGAACUGUAACCGCAUUAACAAAUGUUAAACAUUUACCACCUUCCCUUCCGUUUUUGGUUUUAAUAAGAUGAAAUCCGAAGAUUCUGAUUAAUUCUAAGAGCAACUUCUGCUUUGGUCCAAGCUUCAGAGUCUCUGCUUCUGAAACGAGAAAAUUACAGCUGAAGCUCAGGCUCACCCCGUUCACGGCAACAUCUUCCCUUAAGGGACUUUUCAACUUGCCCUAUGGUGUUUUGAAAGUUUACUCUUCUUGGCCCUCCUGGAAGAUGAAUCUGACUUCCCCCAGUGGGCUACCCUUGGGGAAAACUGCUUCUGCCUUUAAUAGAGGCCUGUUUAUUCUGAUAACAGCCGCCUCACCAAUAAGACAGAUCAGUGACAUAGUAUGUUGCUGAGACCAUGGGACCCCAAGCACCUCCAACAGCUGCUAGAGAGAAGACAUAACUGGGAGAGCCUUCGCAGCAGGCAAAGUAUGUACAAAUGGGUUGGAUUGUGUGUCCUCAAGAUUCAUAGUUUAGAAAUUCGAUCCUCAAAAUCAGGUCAUCUGUAAGAGCAAUAAGUGCUCUUAACUACU